CUGUAGGCCUGAAAAAUUUCAAAUCAAAAAGCCACGGUAUGGGAGGAUAGCAUUGUGAGAGCUGCUCAGAAUGCCUGUUCAACACAGGCAGGACCAAGGAAGGACGCCAUGCUGCUGAGCACCAGGGCCUGUGCAUGUGACCCCAGACUGGCCCCUCCCAGCCAGGGCGUGGACCAGAGCAGAGCCCACCAUGGGCUGGACCCUGGCACAUCCUUCUGAGUACUCUACCCCCGUGAUAUUUGAAGUUUCCGAUCUGGCUGGCGUGUGAAUUCCAGUGGUGUUCCCCAUGAUCAUUACCGGGUUCUUAACCCUGGCCUCAGGAGACAACACCUGGUGGUGGGACCCCAGCCUGGGCUCCAUUCCCAAGUUGUGUGGAGCAGAAAACAUGGAGGAGGAGCCAACGGGGUAGGGCGAAUGAGUGCUCACCGACUUCCACGCCUGCUCACCCUUCAUCCACUCUCUACAUGGCCCCAGAGUGGUCCUGUUGAAAUAAACAGGAGCCAAGCAUCACCUCUUCAUCAGGAAGAGGGCACUUCCAGACAAGAGAGGCCGCAUCCCCAACCCGCUGACCUGAA
Long non-coding RNA from Physeter macrocephalus (sperm whale), 575 nucleotides. RefSeq lists it as uncharacterized. The record is from RefSeq and is a predicted model, not a curated record. The transcript is spliced from 4 exons. Lineage: Eukaryota; Metazoa; Chordata; Mammalia; Artiodactyla; Physeteridae.